CCGUUCUCACAUUCAUAUUGAUGUUAAUCUAGAUAGCAUUCAUUAACAUCAAUAUGAAUGUGGGAAAUG
This 69-nucleotide unclassified non-coding RNA is filed under the name Oryza sativa (Asian cultivated rice). RNAcentral's name for it is "partial microRNA MIR455b-25 precursor". The record is from RNAcentral. Lineage: Eukaryota; Viridiplantae; Streptophyta; Magnoliopsida; Poales; Poaceae.